Populus euphratica (Euphrates poplar) is the source of this 464-nucleotide long non-coding RNA. RefSeq lists it as uncharacterized. The transcript is spliced from 2 exons. Lineage: Eukaryota; Viridiplantae; Streptophyta; Magnoliopsida; Malpighiales; Salicaceae. The record is from RefSeq and is a predicted model, not a curated record.
CCCAGAAGAAGCUGAGUCUACAAGAUCAAGCUGAAGCUGAUGCUGAAAGAUGAGGAUAUCCUAUGCACUCUUCUCUCUUCUGCUCCUGCUAGUCUCAGCUGAGUUUAGCCAUGCCAGGGCAAUCCAUGGGGCCAAUGCGGCGAGGAUUCCAGAGCACACGUGCCACAAGCUGCUAAGCAUGAACAGAUGUGACUUGCAGAAAUGUAACCAGGAGUGUUCCCAGGAACCUCUAGGGGUAGGAGAGUGUAGGAAUACCAACUGUUCUUGCACAUAUUAUUGCAAGCAACCUCCAACGUAAUACAUUCCCAUACUGCUGUGUCACAACGCCGGAGUUUGUAUUCAGGCACGUACAUAAUACACAUUUAGAUCUAGGGCAUCAUCAUGGUGGCAUAAGAUAAGUCUUCACUCAUAUGUAAAGGGAUGCAGUAUUUUGGUACAAAAUCAGCGAAAUGUUUUUUGAUUUU